UACGUAGGUGGCAAGCGUUGUUCGGAAUUAUUGGGCGUAAAGAGCGUGUAGGCGGCUUUGCAAGUCCGUUGUGAAAACUCGAGGCUCAACCUCGAGACGCCGGUGGAAACUGCAAAGCUAGAGUCCGGAAGAGGAGAGUGGAAUUCCUGGUGUAGCGGUGAAAUGCGCAGAUAUCAGGAGGAACACCCGUGGCGAAAGCGGCUCUCUGGGACGGUACUGACGCUGAGACGCGAAAGCGUGGGGAGCGAACAGG
This 253-nucleotide ribosomal RNA is filed under the name uncultured bacterium. RNAcentral describes it as "partial 16S ribosomal RNA". It matches the Rfam family "Bacterial small subunit ribosomal RNA", at positions 524 to 776 of the family's 1533-position model. The record is from RNAcentral.